AGAAGUAGAGGGAGAAGAAGAAGAGGGAAAAGAAGAGAGGAAGAAGAGGGAGAAGAGAAGAAAAAGAAGAAGUAGAAGAGAGGGAAGAUGGAGAGGAGGAAGAGAGGCAGCUGCAGCAGCUAGGGCUGCAGCACCUCUGUUUUCCGCAGGUGGAAACAGAGGAGAGGAUGUGUGGGGCGUUGAGGAAGAAGAAGAAGAGAGGAGGAUAGCUGCGGCAAGGCUGCAGCGAGGAGGUGUGUGGCCUUGGGGAGGAAAAGGGAAAGAGGAGAAGAAGAGAAGGAGAAGAAGAGGGAAAAGAGAGGGAAGAGGGAGAGGAGCGAAAGGUGGCAGCAGCUAGGGCUGCAGCACCUCUGUUUCCUGCAGGUGGAAACAGAGGAGAGGUGUGGGGCGUUCGAAGAGGAGAAGAAGAAGAAGAGGAAGAGAAGAAGAAGAGGAAGCAGGAGAAGAGGUUGUGAUGCCUCUGUUCCUGCAGAGGAAACAGAGGAGAGGGUGUGUGUGACGCCGGGGAGGAGGAGGGAAGAAGAAGAGGAGAAGAAGAGAAGGGAAAGGAGGAGCUGCGGCUGCGGCGGUGGCAGCUUCAGCUGGAAGAGAAGGAGAAGAAGAGAAGGUGAGGAAGAAGAGAAGAAGAAGAAAGGAAGGAGAAGGAGAAGAAGAGAAGGGAAAGGAGGAGCUGCGGCUGCGGCGGUGGCAGCUUCAGCUGGAAGAGAAGGAGAAGAAGAGAAGGUGAGGAAGAAGAGAAGAAGAAGAAAGGAAGGAGAAGGAGAAGAAGAGGGAAAAGAGAGGGAAGAGGGAGAGGAGCGAGAGGUGGCUGCAGCACCUCUGUUUCCUGCAGGUGGAAACAGAGGAGAGGUGUGGGGCGUUCGAAGAGGAGAAGGGAAAGAAGUAGCUGCGGCUGCGGCAGUGGCAGCUGCAGCUAUGGCAGGGAAAGAGGAAGAGAAAGGAAGAAGGGAAGGAGAGGAAGAAGAGAAGGGAAAGAAGGGGCUGCGGCUGCGGCGAUGGCAGCUGCAGUUGGAAGAGAAGAAGGAGAGGAAGAUGAGCAGGGGAGGAAGAAGAGGUUGUGGCCGCGGCUGAGGCUGCGACUGCAGCAGUGCAGCUGGGAAAGAAGAGAAGGAAAGGAAGAAGAAAAGAAAGGAAAAGGGAAGAAGAGAGGAAGAGGAGAAGGAGAGGCAGCUGUGGCAGUGGCAGCUGCAGCUGGAAGAGAAGGAGAGGAAAUAGAGCAGGGGAGAAAGAAGAGGCUGCGGCUGUGGUGGCUGCGGCCAUGGUUGCGACGGCGGCAGUUGCAGCUGGGAAAGAAAAGAAAGGAAAGGGGGAAAAAGGGGCUGCGGACGGGAUUGCGGCCGCAGCAGCAGCGACUGCGUAUACAGCAGUUAUGUCUGCGAGAGAAGGGAGGAAGGAAGGUAGUGCGGUGGAAGGGGCUGCGAUUGUGGCAGCGGCAGUGGCGACGGUUGUGGCAGCUGCGUUUGGGAAAGAAAAAGAAGGAAUGAGAGUACUAGAGAGCAGGUGACUGUGCCUCGAUGUUCGACAUGUGGUGUAGUUGCGAAGAAAGAAAGAAAACGAGAGCACAAAACGAAACAGAGAGAGGACACGGAGGAAAAGUAGAAGGAUUUGAGCUGACACCUUCUUUGGAUCUUCGGAUCGAAAUCUUUGAAAGGCAAGUUCCCUGAUCGUUCCUCCUGUAAUUGUUCUAAUCUUUCCUAUUGCAAGUUUCCCGCUUGUUUCGAUCCUUUCAAUUGCAAAUGUUUCGAUCCUUUCUAUUGCAAGUUCCCUGAUCGUUUCUCCUAUAAUUGCUCUGAUAUGUCUUAUUGCAAGUAUCCUGAUCUUUCCUCACUGCCAUUUUUAUCUCUACAUUUGCUUUGAAUAUGAGGAACUUUGAAUUGUUCUAGCCUUGCAUUUGUUAUAUCUCCUGUUUAGACGUAACGAUUCGAAUCUGUUCAACUUUUGAGAUUCUGACCUUUUGAUACCGAGCUGCCUAUUAGUCUUUGUUGGAAACUCUGAUUUGUUCAAAACUGAUUUCAUUGGAAACUAGACUCGUAGACCUUUCUUUGAUAUAUGGAUUGAAAGAUUUGGAAUCCAAACACCUGUCCAGUUAUCUGUUGAAUCUGACAUUAUGAAUUCUGCCAACAGAGAUUUUGUUCUACGAAUCUUGCUUACCAAAUUAUUUGUAACUCUCUCUGUUGGACAAUUCAAUUCAUAUGAAGCCUGUCUUAUCUGAAAGUAUCAUCCAAUUAUUAUUUCUGAGUAAAUUGGAGCACGAUUGAUAGUUUGAAUCAUUUGUUCAAUGUGCCUUCUGUUUUUUGCUAGAAAUCGAGCUUUGGUCGAUUUCUCAUAUUCUGGUUUCAUUCCUUUGGAAAUUGAUAUCCUUUAGCUUUCUCAUUCAAUUGAGCUUUAUAUUACUGCUUUGAAUUCUUGUAUGCUCUUGUCCUUAAAAUUAUUGUAUUCUUGAAAACUGUUGUGUAACGUUUAUGCUAUAUCGUAUUGACUCAUAUAGGCACAUGUAUAUCCUAUUGUUCCGCAUUUGCUUUCGAUAUGUGCCUAUUCCAGUUUCAUUCCUUUGGACAUUGAAUUCAUCAAAUCUUCUUAUUGAAUUGAGUUAUAUGUGAUUGCUUGGAUUCCAUAUGUGCCCUUGCUUUCAAUUCCUUUCAAAUCUGAAUAUACUUGUGAAAGAUUAUUGCUUACUUCGGAUUGACUCGUAAAGGCACAUGUACGCUUUGUUGUUCCGCGUGUGCUUUCGAUAUGUCCCAAUUUAUUGUUGAAACUGCCCUUUUGUACUCUGGUGUGUGGGAUUGUCUGGACCUUUGCCAGAAAUGGUAAAGGGUAUGCGUUGAUUUGCCCGCUUUGUGGGGUCCCGCUUUGUGGGAUAUUCUGGUAUGCGCUUAUUUGCCCGCUUUAUGGGGUCCCGCUUUGUGGGAUAUUGCUUAGAGCCUGCGAUGCUCUGCCGGCCCCCUUUGACUUCACCUAGACGUGGGUGGAUGGAGCUCCCAAACGUGGGAGACUUUUGUCAGGUGGUCAUUCAGAAAUGGAUGAAUCACAUUCUGACUGAGAUCCCACUACACCUUCUGUAUGUUUGAUAUGAUAUCCAGAGCUUUGGUUAUGUGUUUCUGUACAUGCUUUGGAUAAGAUUGAUAUGUUUACAACGUCAAAGACGACGUUUGAGCUUUUGUACGAUAUUUGUUUUUGUUAUGCUCUGAAAUGCUUCAUUCACUGAUAAUAUGCUUCGAAAUGUUCCAUAUAUCGUUGAUAUGCUCCGGAACAUUUCAUCUGCCAUUGAUAUGCUCCAAUUACUCUGUGCUCCAUUUGCUAUGAACUGAUAUGUUCUGAAAUGUCCUAUCUGCCAUUGAUAUGUUCCAAUUACUCUAUGCUCCAUUCGUUACGGAUCAAAUAUGUUUUUAAUGACAUGAUACGUAUGAUUUGGUAUCUAUUGAGAUGGUAUCCUUGAGAAUUCUUGUAUUCUGCCUUGCAUUAUGAUACCUUACUCGUUUGAAACCGUUCCUUUUGUUCUGAAUAUGCUUUGUCACUUGCUGAGCCGUUUUUGGCUCACUCCAUUGUUAUAUAAAUCUUUCAGGUCAGCUUGUCACUCUUCGAGAUGUUGAUUUGGGCUGAGGCAAUGGAUAGCUAUUCAGAAUUAUGGGCAAGUUUGGGUGGUUAUUAUGAUAUUGUUGUAUAAGUAUGUUUUGUAUGUAAUGAAAUGUUGUCGAUGAAUCGAAAUGGAUAUACUGUGUAAAAGUGUUAGAAGAUCUCUCUUAUUUGGAAUUUCGGAAUGUUAAGUCUAAUUUAUGACGAUAUGAACUUGUGGUGAAUAGUUGGAGUUCUGAUUGUAUAAUUUAUUUAGCUUGUGGAUUUAUAAAUGUUGUUCAUGUUUGUCAAGUUGGCUUGGGUUGCCAUAAAUGUGAAUUAUCGAGUGAUGUGAUAUAUGAUUUUAAAAUGCACAGGUUUUAUGGAUGUGAAUUUGAUUGAAUGUUUUUCAGUGUCCUCAAACGUUAGUUUGGAUCCUGGAUUGGUCUGUGAUGAAAAUUGUUUUAAAAUCAUGGAUAUAUUUGAGGGGCGUGACAGAGGUGGUAUCAGAGCAUGGUUUGAGGAUUACUGAAAUAUUUGAUAUGUUGACGUGCAAAAUAUAUUGAGGUCUAGUGAACUAUAGUGAUUGGUGGAAAUUUUCUUUGAUAUAUUUUAGGAAUCUGGGAUGAUGAGGACAUUUGGUCCUCCUAUUUCAUUUGUUUCUGAUUAAUUAAGUGGGAUGAAAGGGGUAAUCGGGGAUAUUGAAUCAGAGUGGCGCAGCGGAAGCAUGGUGGACCUAAUUUCAUUGGUGGUAGAAAAAUGAAUGAUGCAAACAGAGAAGAUAUAUGAUGUACAAAAUUGUUCUGAUACUCGAAAGAUUUCUUUUGCCACGUUAUAUUGGAAGUAAAGACUUAUUAUUGAUGGCAACAAUGAAAAGAAUUUUUGAAGAUCAAUGGCAAGAAUGACAAGGACAAGUUUACCAAUAAGAAUAUGAUUAGAAACGAAUCAGAAAAUGAUAACAAGAGGGUCAAGAUAUUUGGUUUUGAAAUGGGAAGUCACCACAAAAGACUCAAUCACGUGUGAAUUGUAAGUUAAAUUAUGAAACAAGUUUGUGUUUUCAAAUGACUGGAGUCUAUUUUGUUUGUGGAAGGUUGGAUCAUAAAAUAAAAGACUGCCCCUUGAACAAGAAGAAAGAGUCACUGCCUCAUAAAUCAUCAGCCCAUGUCAGAGUGUAUGCUAUCACUGAAUAUGAUUCUAAAACUUCUGAAUUAGUAGUCGAAAGUAUUAUGUAUGUUUAUGAAAGAAUGUAAAUAUUUGUUUGACCAUGGGUCCUAUCUACGAUUUGAUUCAUAAUAUUUUGCUUAUCACUUGGGCAAUCAACUUAGACCACUGGAUUAUAUGCUAUAAGUAAAUAUGACUAUCGAGGAUUCUUUGAUAACAAACUUGAAUCUGGUCCUCUUGUCUGAUUUUUAUUGGAGAACUUGAACUUUUGCUGAUUUAGUUCUCCUAGAGAUUUGGAGUUUUGAUAUUAUACUUGGUAUGGAUUGGCUAUCUUCCUAUCAUACCAGUACGGAUUGGUAUAUAACCAAUGAUCACUUUUUGCAUAUUUGAUCAGCCGAUCUUUUAUUUUGAGAGUAUUGGACAUUAUUUAUCUCCUUGCCUAAUGUAUCCCAGGAUGACUUGUUUGGAUUAUCUCCAAAUGUGAUCUUGCUUUUGAUUUGGUCCUUGGGACAAUCCCAAUAUCUAAGCCUCUCUACAGAAAGAUAUCAUUUGAGUAAGUGGAAUUGGAAAAGCAACUACAAGUAUUAUUAAAUGAGGAUUUUAUUUGGCUUAAUAUUUCAUCAUGGGGUGCUCCGGUGUUAGUUAAAAAGAUAUAUGGAACAUUGAGGCUUUGUAAUGAUUAUAGACAGUUGAAUUAGGUGACCAUUAAAAAUGAGUAUUUUCUGGAGUAACGACUUGCUUGAUUAACUGUAGGGUGCGCAAGUACUUUUAGAAAUUGAUUGAAGGUCGGGUUACCGUCUAUUGAGGAUCAAGGAGGAGAAUAUUUUGGUCACUCGUGGAUAAUUAUGCAAUUGUAUUGUAUUGGUGAAAUUAUUUGAGAGCAGGAGGAGGAAAUAAAGAAAUCAUACUCCUAAUCUUUUCAUCGAUUGAGCUAUGAUUAAUUUAGAGGACUAAAUUUUCUUUUAAGGGGGGGAGAGUGUAAUAUCCCUCACUUUUGAAAAUUAUUAAUAAAGAUUUAUUUAUAAAUCGGAGGACCUAUAUGUAAAUAUGGAAAUUUUAAGGACUAAACUGUUAAGUUGUAAAAAGAAGAAAAUAAAUAAAACCGAAAAUUUCGGUUUUAUCCCACCGCCUCCCACGCUCUCUCUGUUUCUUCGAGAAACAGAGAGAAGCGGUGGGGCGUGGGGAGAAGAAGAAGAGAAGUAGAGGGAGAAGAAGAAGAGGGAAAAGAAGAGAGGAAGAAGAGGGAGAAGAGAAGAAAAAGAAGAAGUAGAAGAGAGGGAAGAUGGAGAGGAGGAAGAGAGGCAGCUGCAGCAGCUAGGGCUGCAGCACCUCUGUUUUCCGCAGGUGGAAACAGAGGAGAGGAUGUGUGGGGCGUUGAGGAAGAAGAAGAAGAAGAAGAAGAAGAAGAAGAAGAAGAAGAAGAAGAAGAAGAGAGGAGGAUAGCUGCGGCAAGGCUGCAGCGAGGAGGUGUGUGGCCUUGGGGAGGAAAAGGGAAAGAGGAGAAGAAGAGAAGGAGAAGAAGAGGGAAAAGAGAGGGAAGAGGGAGAGGAGCGAAAGGUGGCAGCAGCUAGGGCUGCAGCACCUCUGUUUCCUGCAGGUGGAAACAGAGGAGAGGUGUGGGGCGUUCGAAGAGGAGAAGAAGAAGAAGAGGAAGAGAAGAAGAAGAGGAAGCAGGAGAAGAGGUUGUGAUGCCUCUGUUCCUGCAGAGGAAACAGAGGAGAGGGUGUGUGUGACGCCGGGGAGGAGGAGGGAAGAAGAAGAGGAGAAGAAGAGAAGGGAAAGGAGGAGCUGCGGCUGCGGCGGUGGCAGCUGCGGCUGGAAGAGAAGGAGAAGAAGAGAAGGUGAGGAAGAAGAGAAGAAGAAGAAAGGAAGGAGAAGGAGAAGAAGAGGGAAAAGAGAGGGAAGAGGGAGAGGAGCGAGAGGUGGCUGCAGCACCUCUGUUUCCUGCAGGUGGAAACAGAGGAGAGGUGUGGGGCGUUCGAAGAGGAGAAGGGAAAGAAGUAGCUGCGGCUGCGGCAGUGGCAGCUGCAGCUAUGGCAGGGAAAGAGGAAGAGAAAGGAAGAAGGGAAGGAGAGGAAGAAGAGAAGGGAAAGAAGGGGCUGCGGCUGCGGCGAUGGCAGCUGCAGUUGGAAGAGAAGAAGGAGAGGAAGAUGAGCAGGGGAGGAAGAAGAGGUUGUGGCCGCGGCUGAGGCUGCGACUGCAGCAGUGCAGCUGGGAAAGAAGAGAAGGAAAGGAAGAAGAAAAGAAAGGAAAAGGGAAGAAGAGAGGAAGAGGAGAAGGAGAGGCAGCUGUGGCAGUGGCAGCUGCAGCUGGAAGAGAAGGAGAGGAAAUAGAGCAGGGGAGAAAGAAGAGGCUGCGGCUGUGGUGGCUGCGGCCAUGGUUGCGACGGCGGCAGUUGCAGCUGGGAAAGAAAAGAAAGGAAAGGGGGAAAAAGGGGCUGCGGACGGGAUUGCGGCCGCAGCGGCAGCGACUGCGUAUACAGCAGUUAUGUCUGCGAGAGAAGGGAGGAAGGAAGGUAGUGCGGUGGAAGGGGCUGCGAUUGUGGCAGCGGCAGUGGCGACGGCUGUGGCAGCUGCGUUUGGGAAAGAAAAAGAAGGAAUGAGAGUACUAGAGAGCAGGUGACUGUGCCUCGAUGUUCGACAUGUGGGGUAGUUGCGAAGAAAGGAAGAAAACGAGAGCACAAAACGAAACAGAGAGAGGACACGGAGGAAAAGUAGAAGGAUUUGAGCUGGCACCUUCUUUGGAUCUUCGGAUCGAAAUCUUUGAAAGGUCAGCUUGUCACUCUUCGAGAUGUUGAUUUGGGCUGAGGCAAUGGAUAGCUAUUCAGAAUUAUGGGCAAGUCUGGGUGGUUAUUAUGAUAUUGUUGUAUAAGUAUGUUUUGUAUGUAAUGAAAUGUUGUCGAUGAAUCGAAAUGGAUAUACUGUGUAAAAGUGUUAGAAGAUCUCUCUUAUUUGGAAUUUCGGAAUGUUAAGUCUAAUUUAUGACGAUAUGAACUUGUGGUGAAUAGUUGGAGUUCUGAUUGUAUAAUUUAUUUAGCUUGUGGAUUUAUAAAUGUUGUUCAUGUUUGUCAAGUUGGCUUGGGUUGCUAUAAAUGUGAAUUAUCGAGUGAUGUGAUA
Molecule: long non-coding RNA, 7829 nt
Organism: Musa acuminata AAA Group (dessert banana)
Lineage: Eukaryota; Viridiplantae; Streptophyta; Magnoliopsida; Zingiberales; Musaceae
Exons: 2
Source: RefSeq, a predicted model, not a curated record